GAGACUCUGUGCGCGUGCAUAUCAAUAAGCGGAGGAAAAGAAACUAACAAGGAUUCCCCUAGUAACGGCGAGCGAAGCGGGAAGAGCUCAAAUUUGAAAUCUUAAAGGUUCUACCUUGACGAAUUGUAGUUUAAAGAAGUGUUUUCUGUUGGAGUUUCGGUAAAAGUUCUUUGGAAUAGGACAUCAUAGAGGGUGAGAAUCCCGUAUUUGACCGUUACUUUCCAGCUGUGUGAUACACUUUCAAAGAGUCGGAUUGUUUGGGAAUGCAGUCCAAGAUGGGUGGUAAAUUUCAUCUAAAGCUAAAUAUUGGCGAGAGACCGAUAGCGAACAAGUACCGUGAGGGAAAGAUGAAAAGAACUUUGAAAAGAGAGUUAAACAGUACGUGAAAUUGUCAAAAGGGAAGCGUUUGACACCAAUGUUGUUUAGUUGAAAAUCAAUUCAAUAGUUUUUGAUUCUAAGUAGUAUUGACUUCAUCAGCUUGCUGCUUUCUUCUCAGAAAUUAUUGAAUGCACUUUUCAGUUAACAAGUCAACAUCAAUUUCUUUUGUUGUAAAAGGGUAAGAGGAAGGUGGCUUGCGCUUCGGCUCAAGUGUUUAUAGCCUUUUAUCUCUGCAAUCGGAGAGAUUGAGGUCUGCAGCGUAGAUCCUUCGGGGUUAGAUACAUUGGUGCUAAGCUAUAGCCUUGUAUAGGACAACUUGUUGACUAUGCUCAGUCAUGUAGCUUACUCGCUGAUGCUAUUUUACCUACGCUUAGGAUGUUGACAGCAGUAUAGACUGU
This 776-nucleotide ribosomal RNA is filed under the name uncultured Neocallimastigales. RNAcentral's name for it is "partial large subunit ribosomal RNA". It matches the Rfam family "Eukaryotic large subunit ribosomal RNA", at positions 23 to 638 of the family's 3401-position model. Lineage: Eukaryota; Fungi; Neocallimastigomycota; Neocallimastigomycetes; Neocallimastigales. The record is from RNAcentral.